Molecule: long non-coding RNA, 677 nt
Organism: Saccostrea cuccullata (small rock oyster)
Lineage: Eukaryota; Metazoa; Mollusca; Bivalvia; Ostreida; Ostreidae
Exons: 3
Source: RefSeq, a predicted model, not a curated record
UAUUCAUACUAGUGUGCACCUUAUUUCCUAAUGUUUCCUGCGUCUAUAGUUGGUUUUAUGGAAAAUACGAAGAAAAAUGCCCAGAUCGGGAUGGCGCUCAUCAGUAUUAUUUUGGAACAACAAAUCUUUUUUGCCUCGUACAACAUCGCAUGGGAAAACGAAGUAUACCCUCAAGACGGACGUAUUUACCCACCCAUCGAUUCAUCGAAUACAGGGGAUACUAUUAUGAUUUCCAAAUGAAUUCGAAAGUAUCGAUCGCUAAGAGUCGGUUAAGUGGAGAUGAAUGCUCUGGGGCAAAGGAGGAAUCCCCAGCGGGGUACAGCGAACUAAGCACCGACUGCGUCGAGGGUUGUGCCAAAAAUUACACAUGUCAAUUCGGUAACUACAGCCUCUUUUUUAACAACUGUCACAAUUUUGCCAACCGCUUGUCAGAAGUUCUGUGUAGAAGAGGUACCACGUGCCCUGAUUGGUGUAAAGGAAGCUGUGACGAUGUGGAAUAUUAUUAACAUUUGAGAAAAGAAUGAAAAUGCUUCUAAUUCAAAACUUGAUGCAAUAAGAAUAGUGAAAAUGAAUCUCAUAUCAUAUAUUUCAUUUGUAAAUCAUAUUUAUUUUAUUUAUAUUUAUUUUUUGGUACAAAUUGUGAAAAUGUGGAAUUCGAUAUUCCAGUUAGCAAAUAA